Molecule: ribosomal RNA, 373 nt
Filed under: uncultured organism
Description: bacterial SSU rRNA
Rfam family: Bacterial small subunit ribosomal RNA
Source: RNAcentral
CAGAGGGUGCAAGCGUUGUUCGGAAUUACUGGGCGUAAAGCGCGCGCAGGCGGAUCCUGCAAGUCAGAAGUGAAAUCUCACUGCUCAACGGUGAGGCUGCUUUUGAUACUGCGGAUCUGGAGACCGGUAGAGGCUGGUAGAAUUGCAGGUGUAGCGGUGGAAUGCGUAGAGAUCUGCAAGAAUACCCGCGGCGAAGGCGGCCAGCUGGGCCGGUUCUGACGCUGAGGCGCGAAAGCGUGGGGAGCAAACAGGAUUAGAUACCCUGGUAGUCCACGCCGUAAACGAUGGGCACUAGGUGCUGGGGGGAGCGACCCCGUCAGUGCCGUAGCUAACGCGAUAAGUGCCCCGCCUGGGGAGUACGGCCACAAGGCUG